CAAGUUCACCUUAUCAUCUGAGCAAGGAAAUAAUUGCUUUAGCAUUGCAGGAGAGAUUGCGCUAGUGAGAAAUGUACUAAAGUCAGGUGAUGGAAUAUAUGUAAUUUAUCAGCGAUUUGAAAACAUGGCGCCCUUCUUCUCAUACCCUUGUUUGUCAUCUUACAUUGGAUGUUACAGGGUUUGUGACUUGAAGGAUGGCUUUGGACUCUGUGAACUUUCCAAGAUCAGUCAGAAAUAUAUUCUUUAUCCAGACAACAAGAGCUUCAUUGCUUGUCCUCUAUUACACUUACAUUAAACAAAUUUAUUUGAAUAUAGAGUUCAUUGUUUAGGCAAAAUUAUAUUGCAAUAUGUUUGGUUGUUUUUUCCUACUAAUUCUUUACAUUGUAACUAACAGUCCAGUUGUACAAAUAAAUUUAGUUGGGAUAUUUUGUUGCUUUAACCAAUUUCUUUGUGUAACAGUUUACAUCAGCUGUGAAAUGGUACAGUGGUCUGUGGUGCAGUUUGAGGCUGGAGGGACUGCAGUUGUGCCACAUAGUUGGUAUAACAUUGAGGAAAAAAAAUGCCAUUGGCCACCAUUUAAACAUCACAAACUUCACAAAGCUAUUCAAGACCACCAGAAUCCAGAGCCAUACUGGGAAAUCUAUGAAUCUGUCAGGCUUCUCAUCACUAAAGACACCUAUGAACAAGCCAGACAUUGUGAGCACAAGUACAGUGAUCAAAGCUGCAUGACAUCUGACAUUGAUUCAGAAGGAGAAGACAAACAAAAACGAAAACUGAGGCCCAAUCGUUUGUUGAUUAAUUCUGACUUUGAGGGGGAGGAUACGGUAGUCAAGAAAGCAAGAUUUGCACAGCCUCCAACAAUUGUGCAACCAGGUGUGUUUGAAUUGAGUGUUCAAUUAUUGUGUGGAAAAUAUAAAAUACAUGUAAAUAAACAUGAACUUUCCAGCAGGUCAACAGAAAAAACAGGGUCCAGCUUUGGCAUCUCAGGCAAGAAAAGGUAUGAAAAUACAACAUAUUAAAUGCAACCACUGGUGAAAUAACAUGCACAGGUGAAAAAAGCUCACAGUGUAAUUUUCUUCACAUAGUAACCAGUACAGUUAUUGCAUUGUAAGAUCACCUUUAGCAUUUGGCACAUUUUAUGUUGUAGCUUUAGUAGUUGAGAAUUCUAGAAGUGAUUCUGCAUGUGAUGGAGGA
This is a non-coding RNA of Paramormyrops kingsleyae, 1194 nucleotides long. The record is from RefSeq and is a predicted model, not a curated record. NCBI's taxonomy places the organism in Eukaryota, Metazoa, Chordata, Actinopteri, Osteoglossiformes, Mormyridae.